CACAGUGUGGUAUAGUGGUUUGAGUGUUGGACUAGGACUCCAGAAGAUCAGGGUUCAAAUCUCUGCUCAGCUG
Molecule: non-coding RNA, 73 nt
Organism: Phrynosoma platyrhinos (Desert horned lizard)
Lineage: Eukaryota; Metazoa; Chordata; Lepidosauria; Squamata; Phrynosomatidae
Source: the annotation of a GenBank genome assembly